Molecule: ribosomal RNA, 253 nt
Filed under: uncultured bacterium
Lineage: Bacteria
Description: partial 16S ribosomal RNA
Rfam family: Bacterial small subunit ribosomal RNA
Source: RNAcentral
UACGGGGGGGGCAAGCGUUGUUCGGAAUUACUGGGCGUAAAGGGCUCGUAGGCGGCCAACUAAGUCAGACGUGAAAUCCCUCGGCUUAACUGGGGGCGUGCGGGCGAUACGGGCAGACUGGAGUACUGCAGGGGAGACUGGAAUUCCUGGUGUAGCGGUGGAAUGCGCAGAUAUCAGGAGGAACACCGGUGGCGAAGGCGGUUCUCUGGGCCUGUACUGACGCUGAGGAGCGAAAGCGUGGGGAGCGAACAGG